Molecule: long non-coding RNA, 211 nt
Filed under: Malus domestica (apple)
Lineage: Eukaryota; Viridiplantae; Streptophyta; Magnoliopsida; Rosales; Rosaceae
Description: long non-coding RNA (MDOM_LNC009256)
Source: RNAcentral
UUCAUCCCACAUAUAAUCUGAAUUACCUCUCCAAUCUGAAUUGCAAGCGUUGGAAAACAUGUUGCCCAUUGAUUGGUUCUAGCCUUGAUAUCCCCAAACAUCUUCAUUGGCAGAAAAUUGAGGACUUUGAUAUCCUUGCCCAUAGGGCACAUCAGGUGUAGGGACACUUGGCAUUGUGGUCCGUUCGGCAUUAUGAGUCAAUUGAGCAGUG